GCUGGAUUAGCUCAGAGGCAGAGCGCCACUCUUGUAAAGUGGAUGUCAAGAUUUCGAAAUUCUUAUCCAGCUCCA
This 75-nucleotide transfer RNA is filed under the name Siphoviridae sp. ctLqe90. RNAcentral's name for it is "tRNA-Thr". It matches the Rfam family "tRNA". Rfam says of the family: Transfer RNA (tRNA) molecules are approximately 80 nucleotides in length. Their secondary structure includes four short double-helical elements and three loops (D, anti-codon, and T loops). Lineage: Duplodnaviria; Heunggongvirae; Uroviricota; Caudoviricetes. The record is from RNAcentral.